UUAUUUUAAGUAAAAAUUUCAGGUUUAUUAUAAAACUUUUAGCUAAAUUGUAAAUUUUGUUUUAAAAUUGAUUUUUUCCUAUUCUAGAUUGUUAAUUUAGCUUAAACCAUUCCACAAUUAGGUCCUCUUCAUUGAUUUUUCCUGUAUUUAUAUUUUAUAUUUUUGAUAGGAGUUUAUUUUGUAAAACUUUAUUUUUUAAAGUAAGUAUCUAUUUUUAAUGAAACUUGUAGCAUAAAGAACCAUUUUUAAGCCUUUUGCAUUAGGAAAAAUCUAUUUUUUAAUAAAUUAGAUAUCUCGAAUUUUUAAGUCUUCUCUAGGAAAGAAAGAAAUCUUUAAUUUUAUCUUAAAUUUCUAGAAUAAAAAGAUAUUUACUAUUUAAAAAUUUUUAGUUCGAUAAUUUAUUUACUAUUUUAGAGUAAUUUUAAAAUAUAAAUUUAAUUUUUUUUGAAAAAUGAUUUUGAAGGAAUAGUAAUCUCCAAAAAUAUAAUUUUUAUUUUAAAUAUAAUUUUUUAAAUAAAUUUUCUUAACAGUACUCUAAUACUGAUUUUAUUAGUAGAUAAUAAAUUAUAUAAAAAAAAUUUAAAUAGAUUUAAUAAUUUUGCUUCCAAUUCUCGCUAUUAGUUUUGUAGCUAACGGAUCUGUUUAAUAAAAACAUUGUAUUUAAAAAUAUACUGUUUGCCCAGUGCGCAUUGUAAACGGCCUCAGUGCUAAGGUAGCAUAAUAAUUUGAGGUUUAAUUGAUUUUCUGGAUGAAAAACUUUAUCAGUUAGCUUUUAAAAAGCAAGACUUUUGAACUUUUAAUUUUUGUGCAAUUACAAAAAUAUAAUUUUUAGACGAGAAGACCCUAAAAUCUUAUUAUAGUUAGCUGGGGAAGUUACAUAUAAAAACAAUAUAAAAAAUUCUAUUACCCAUUUAUGAUACUAAAGAUACUUUAGGGAUAACAGCGUUAAAAUAUAAUAGAUCGUAUAUUGAUAUUUUAUAGCGACCUCGAUGUUGAAUUAAGAAAUCUUAUUCUAGAAUAAGAGAAUAAAGAAAGUCUGUUCGACUUAUAAUUUCUUACAUGAUUUGAGUUAAGAUCGACGUAAGUCAGAUUGGUUUCUAUCUAAGAUUUUUUUGAUAACUUUUAGUACGAAAGGAAUAAAGUUAUUUUU
RNAcentral lists this ribosomal RNA (1150 nucleotides) under Paracyclopina nana. RNAcentral's name for it is "large subunit ribosomal RNA". The stretch from base 936 to 1092 matches the Rfam family "Archaeal large subunit ribosomal RNA", at positions 2544 to 2703 of the family's 2987-position model. Lineage: Eukaryota; Metazoa; Arthropoda; Copepoda; Cyclopoida; Cyclopettidae. The record is from RNAcentral.